CAUAUAUACAGUGGAUGUGGCUCGUGGCUGAUGGCUCUCCAUAUAUAGUCUCUGUUACUUAAGAAUCUCAAUACAGUAGUUAUCCAAUGCAAUGUACUUGUGAUGUAAUACCAAUUGCUAGCUAGUGCCAGCUCUGUUGCAUGAAAACUUGAAGCAAUGUUUUCAGAAGCUUUCAUGUUGGGUUGAAUAAAUUCAUGAGAAUUCUAACGAUAGGUUUCCAAUUAAAUGAGAUUUGUUUGAUGCUAUGUCGUAAUGUGCAAAUGACUUCCUUCUCUUCAUGGUAUCCAAGUUGCUAGGCCCAAAAGGAUUAAUGAAUUCAUUAGAAAUCUAAUAAGAUUUGAUUCAAAUGGUAUCCCCCUUGCUUAAUUAGUUAAUUAUCCGAGAAAUCAAGGGAGCUGAAAUUAUUCAGUAUGUUGCAUAAACCAAACAAGACAUAUAUGGUUAAACAAGUUUAAAAUCGUUUAGGUAUCUAAUUCUAACAAAAUAAGAUUUUAAUUUUUGAAAUUAAGUAAUUAGACUAGACCAUAAAAUGAUUUAGACCAUAAUAUGUAUAACUCAUGUAUUUUGGAAAGUCGUCUUGUAAAUAUUUAAAGGUUGUAAUGUAUAUGAAAGACAAUAUACUAUGGCCAUUCAUUUUCUCUUAUAUGGUAUCAUAGCUAUUCUAGCUCCCACGAGUUUCUUUUCACCAUGACCGAUGCAAACUCUUUGCCAACAAUGAACCUCAACCAUCUAUCUAGUUGCCUUCAACGUAGUUAGUCGACUUCUACUCAAGCUUCCUCCCGCUAACUAUUAUUCAUGGAAAUCUUUGAUGCCCUGCUCUUGGCUAUGGUUUACUUGACGGAACUAAUCCCUGUCCCUCCUCCGAAAUCACAAUUGAUGACAAGCAAAAUUUGAAUCCUAACUACAGUUUAUUGAUAAGAAAGGACAAACUUCUGCUUCUAGGGGUUAAAGUUGUUCAUGUGGUUCUUUCAUGCAAAACCUCUACUGAAACAUGGGAUCAUCUUGCCGAGCUUUAUGCCGAUCCCUUAUCCUCCAGAACCAUGGGAUUCACAGAGCAACUCACUUUUCUCAACCGUGGCUCCCAACCCAUUGCUAAUUAUCUUGUUGUUCACGAUAGUGCUGAUGAACUCUAUCUUCUUGGGGCACCCAUUCCAAACCAAUAUCCCAUCACUCACACACUCGAUGGUAUUGGUAAUGAAUUCAAAGAAAUUUUUGUAGUUGUACAAGCAUGGGAUACUGUGAUCACCUUUGUUGAGCUGCAUGACAAAUUAGUAAAGUCUGAAGCCUUCUCAUGUGAGAAGAGCUUCAUGCUAUCAGGAACCUUGGUGGUAUUACUGUUAACAAUGCCCAAUCCUCAUAUUUCAAUAGGGACCAAAACCCUAUCAAGAAAUCUUUUCCCAACAAGAGAGGACAACAAGGUUCACACCCUCUCAUUCGGGGAUAAAAAAACCAACAAGAAUGCCACGAAUCACAUAAUAAGCAAGAAUGCCCCAGUAAUAUGACAAUUCUAUGAGAAGAAAGGCUACAUUACUUGCCAAUGUUAUAUUGCUAAUUAGAAAUCGUUCCUUUCAUCCAACCCUACUGCCAACCCAACUAUCAACACCAACACCUCCUCACCUAGUUGGCUCUUGGAUAUCAGUGCCUCCUAUCACGUUUCAUCGAAUCUAAACAGCUUAUCUCUUCACCAACCAUACAAGGGUCCAAAUGAUAUCUUCAUUAGUGAUGGUAGAGGUUUAAACAUUACUCAUGUUGGCAAGACAACUCUCUCCACUCCAUCUCAUUCGUUCUUUCUCUCUCUCGCUAAUGUCUUGUGUGUUCCAACUAUGAAACAAAACCUAAUUUAUGUCUCUCAAUUCUGCAAGACAAAUAAUGCUUCCAUUGAAUUUAACCCCUCCUCUUUUUGUGUGAAGGAUCUAACCAUGGGGGCACUCCUGCCUUGGGGAUGUAGCAAGAAUAAUGUCUAUGAGUGGUCAAUUAAAGAUGCUUCCACUGAAAGGAUCAAACGAGCUUGCAUUGGUGUCAAAAGGUCUCUAAAUUUUUACACCAAAUUGCCUUCUCAGAAUAAUCUUUCAGUUUCUUCCAUGCACAAUACCUUAUCAGAGGAUUUAAGUAAAUAAUUAGGGUUUGUUUGUCAACCAUUUUCCCCAAAGUGGUUUUCUAUUUUUGAGAACUACUAAGAAGAAAAAGAGAAAAAUAUAUUUGAUAAUGACUAAAUAUGAAUUAUUAAAAACUAUUUUCUAAGUAACAUUUCAAAAAUAUUAUCAAAAUGCACUAUUAAACCCUUAAUCUAUAUAAAUCUUAAAUGGGAAACAAAUCAAAUGAACUUCAAAUGCAUCUCUACAGUAAAAAAGGAGCUACGAGAAUUUGACCGGAUUGAUGACCAAAAAGACCAAGAAUUUGUUGAAUGUGAAAUCAACAACUUCCAAAUUAUAAUGUUUUCUAUUCAAUCAAAAAAUAAAAAAAUAAAAAAAAUAAAAAUCAAAUGUUGUGAUGUCAAGUGAAUAUAAUUGUAGUUGUUAGUACUACUUGCUGAAUAUAUGUAGUGUAUACUAUUGCCUCCUUUGUAUUAAUCUCAUUGAUAAGGGUGAGUAAUGAUUACAAUUCAUCAAAAUUUUAUAAUAUAAUCCUAAUAAAUUAAAUCAAUGUGAUAAGGAAUGUGUUUCACUUAAAUAAACAUUAUUCUAUCCCAAAACUUUCAUUAAAAUUUAUUCCAAUUUAACUAUUUAUAUUAUUUUUUUUAUUGCAAUCAAAGAUGUGAAUUUAAUAAUUUAGGCACUAAAGAAUGUGAUUUCAAUGCUCAUUUCUAAUUUUAUUGAUUGAAAUAAUUACAUUGGACGAGUAUUGAAAUGCUUUGAUUAUAAACUUGCUCUUGAUGUUGGCACAUGUGGAGAAUGUCUCAUGAUAAUGAUUUGGUCCACUAAAAUUUUGAUAUUUAGUCCUAAAUGUAGUACAAUUUAUAUGAAUGAGUUCUUUUCUUCUUCUUCUUCAUUUUUUUAUUUUUAAUAUUCUGGAGAAAGAGAGAGAAAAUUCAAUAAUGGAAAUUAACAUUUUCAAAAAAGGUUAAAUUAUUAUCCGAUUGUUAAAGAUAAAUUAGAUUAUUUAAAAAAUUCAUCAUAUCUAUACUUCAUUUAAAUGACCACAAAAUAUUCGAUGAGUAUAUUUUAGUUGACAUUGGGAGUCUUGUAAAUUCAUCUUAUUGAUAACAUAUAUAAAUUAUCAAUUACAUAUUAAUUGAAAUCAUAUAAAAACCACUUUGGAUUAUAUAAGUUAUAUAUAUAUAUAUAUAAGACAUUUAGGUAUAAAAAGUACUAUUGUUAAAUGUAUGCUCUAAUAAAAAAAAUACUUGUCCAUUUUAUUUUUAUUUUUCUUUUUUGUUAAUUAAAAACCACCUGAUUUAUUAAGGUGAUAAUACGUUUUUAAAAUUUUUGUUAUUUAUGGAAAAACUAAAUCCUUAUAAUAAGAUAACUAAUCUUUAGGGAUUUUUCUUUUUUCCUUUUUAAAAAAAUUAGAACUCAUUUGUGUUGUCUAUGAAAUGAAAUUAAUUAAUUUAUUUGUGAGAUAUAAAGCAAUUUAUAUGAUACUUCACCCAACAAAAGUUUGACAUGAAAUGCAUUAGAGAUGGGCAAUAUCCACUUGAAUGUUUAGAUUACCAUCAAUAACUAUGCCCAAAGUUUGUUUUAGAAUGGGUCUAAAGGUCACAUUACCUCUCCAUAUAUAGAAAAUCAAAAUUCAUGAAAGUCAAUUUUCUUCUUCUUAGUCUGAAUGUCACAUAGUCUUGAAUUUUUGGCACAAAGCUAAUAACUAGAGAUUUGUAGAAAGGCCAAUCUUACAAGACAAAAAUGUAAAACUUACACAUUAUUGAUGUGGCAUUGAAUUGUGUUGAAAUGGCUAUUGGAGGCAACACCUACAAGAGUAGUAGAGAAAGCAUGAAAUCUUGAAAGACAAACUUUCAUUACAAGUUAUAUAUGAAUGAUCAAAAUAAGACCAUAAAAAUGAAAAGGUCAUAAGAGAAGGUUAUAUUGUAAUUCCUACAACAAAAUCUCAUAGGAGAUUUUUUGGCAUCAACAAAAGCUUAAAGCCUAUUAUCAGUUUUUUUUUUUUAAUUGUUCGGGAGUUGGGAAUUGCCCCUAAAACUUGGAAGAAAAAUAUUGCACUAGAAAUUAGGAAUUAUUAGGUUGUUUCUUGAUUGAUCAUGCAUACGGUAUGCUAAAUAAUGAGUAUGAGAUAGAAUGGAGAAACAAGUCAUUUCAAUAUAAAGGAGGUAUCAAAGUCAUUUUGAUACUAGGAGGAAAUCAGUGUUGGAAGGCUCUUUGGAAAUUAUCAUUUUGAUAAAGUUCAAGGCAUAUGAGUAGUAGAAAUUGGAUGUCUGAUGCCCUUUUUCAAACCUAUUUUGAUACCAGAAUGUGUUCUAUUGAAAUUUUGAUAAAUCACCUAGAGAGUCAAGACUUAGUUUCCUUCAUCGGUUAUAGUCAAUAACAUUUGGACAUAAUUUUGAUACUCAAAAACCUUUGUAGGAUAUUUUGAUACCAAUGGGGAUGACAGACUCAUUUAUCAAAUUUUCACUACCAAAAAUUAAUGUCUACACCAAACCGAUAUAAGCUCAAGAUUUUGGCAAACACUUGCAUUUUUGCAUUUUGAUACCACAAAAAUUAUAUAGAAUAUGUUAUGUUUUUUAAAAACUAAUAGAACAACAUUUUUUUUUAUCAUUGUUUCAAAAGAAAAAUAAAAGUUCAUGAUAUUUUUUUUUAAAUUAUAUAUUUUUAAUAUGCAUUCUAUUUGAUGUUGGACUUUACACAUGAUGUCUCAAUAUUCUUUUACUAAUAAAAACAUGUGAUGGCAAGGUGGUAAUAUGAAGGUUGUUGAGUGUAAUGACAGUCUUGUAUAACUUAACUGCUUAGAGUAUAUAAUCAUCACUACUCUUUAACAUUCAUAACUGUCUCUCUUUCCAACCAAUAACUAACUCUCGCUUCCUCUCACUUUCCCUAGAAAAUUCAACUUUCUAGCUUUCACCCAUCUGAGACAAUCUUAUAAUUUGGUAGUUGUUGAUUUCACAUUCAACAAUUUCUUGGUGUUUUUGGUCAUCAAUCCUGUAAAAUUCUCCUAACCCUUUUAUUUCUUCCUUUCUUUGGUUCUUUCUUAAUUUCUGUAGAGAUCCAUUUCAAGUUCAUUUGCUUUGUUUCCUGUAUAAGAUUCAUAUCUGUUUCUCUAUCACUUUCUCUCAGUUUCGUUCACUUUCUCCAGAAAAUUAAUUUUUUCAAGUUUGCUAGUUUUCAUGAAUCUGAUGACUUGGCUGUACUCGAUUUCACAUUCAACAAUUUCUUGGUCUUUUUGGUCAUAUAUCUGUAAAAAUUCUCCAAACCUUUUUCUUUCUUUCUUUCUGGAGAGAUCCAUUUCAAGUUCAUUUGCUUUCUUUCCUAUAUGAGAUGAGAUUCAUAACUGUUUUUCUCUCACUUUCGCUCACUUUCUCCAGAAAAUUAAAUUCAAGCUUGGUAGCUUUCAAGAAUCUGAUAGCUUGGGUAUCGUUGAUUUCACAUUCAGUAAUUUCUUCUGAGUCUUGUUCAUCAUCGAUUAGGUACAAAUAUAUUAACUAAUCCUUUCUUUCUUUUUUUGGAUAUCUUAACACAUCCGUAACUGUUUGGUUCUCAGUUUCUUGGUCGUGGAAGUUGUUGCUUUCAAAUUAAUCUUAUUGAAUCCUUUUUUACAAUAUUUUUAUUCUUUCUCUCAAACUUAAUUCUAAAUGCAUGGGUUAAGGAGAGUGAUAGUUCCGGCAACAACCAUGGCAAUACAAAAUCCCAGCGACCCAAUUCCAACACAAAAUCCCAGCGACCCAAUUCCAACACAAAAUCCCAGCAACCCAAUUCCAACACAAAAUCCCAGCGACCCAAUUCCAACACAAAAUCCCGACCCAACUCCAAUAUGGAUCAGCUGUAACCACUGCCGUCGACGCUUUGUUAGCAUGCAAAACAUUCAAGUAUGUCUCUCCUUGCCAUGACUUGCAAUGAAUGCACUUGUUUUAAUUGGACUAUUUUAUGUUUCACAUUUCUUGUAUAUUUCUUUGAUGAAUGUUCUCCUUGUAGGCUGUUGUUGUACAAGCCAGGGAUCCCAGUUCUAUCUACUAUGUGGCUGAUGAUUCGUAUGUUUUCUUUAUUGGUUGAAAAGAAAGACAGAUCCAUUGUUAUUCAUUUCAAUUAAUAUAUAUAUAUAAGCCUACAUUUGUGUUUUGUUCAUGGAUGCAGUUAUCGCAUAUUCCGUCCUGGCAUAUUCAGUCAUCCCAAAGAAGUAAGUUUUGAAUGGAUUAGGGCUGCCAAUCAGACGACUAAUCUUGUCGUGGGCCGUAUGUACUGUUCCAAAUGCGCACAACCUGCUGGCUGGAAAGUCGUAAGAAAUACCAUUCACUUGUUGCUGUGAAUUUUCUGUUUUAUGUGCUGGCAAGUUAAUUUUAAUCUCACAUGCAGCUUGAGGGGAGCCAAUGGCACCCUGCUAUCCGUGCAGGCCAGGUUUUGCUGCCAGUUCCUCCUGCUCGUCCUCGCUACUAAGAAUCUCAAUGCAGUUGUCCAAUGUGAUAAACACGUGGGUGCAAUAUCAAGUGAAUAAAAUUUGAAACUUGAAGUAGGAUUACAAUUGCAUGCAACGAUGCAUGUCUUAGUCAUUUGUUCCUUCAGCAGAAUGUUUUCAGAAGCUUUUAUGUUGGGAUGAAUAAAUUCUUGAGAAACCUAAUAAUAGAUAAGAUACGUUUGAUGUUGUUUGGUAAUGCGGAAAUGAGUUCCUUUCUUCUUGCUCUCCAGGUUGCAAUGCCUAAAAGCAUUGAACAUUUGACCCAUUAAUGCCUCAAAAUGGUUCAAUUAAUUCCAUAUGGAAGAUACUUGAAAUUUUUUACUGUUGCCUUAUCUUUAUCUGAUUCUUUGAGUUUAAUCAUGGCAUCACUGUCAAUUGCACUUUGACAACCCUUGAUGAACAAAAAAAACUUUCAUCUUGAUUCUUCAUAGACUAAAAUCAUUAUCCCCUAUGAAUUUAUCCCUUUCCUCAAACAGUUUGUAAUCUGAAGGUCCCAUGUUCGAUCCACACUCAUCGCACCAAUUGUCGUGUAAAAAUACUCGCACCAGAAAUUCAAAGAAAGCAAAACAAAAAAGAAUCAAAGAACAACACAAUUACGUGGUUUAGAUAAUGUGCCCUACAUCCACGGAUGCAUACACUGUAGAGUCAAUUUCAUUGAUGAACAGUUUUCAGUACAAGCUUAUUACAAUUUUCUUCCUUUAUUCUAUUUGAUUUCCCAGAAAUACUUACCAAGAAAAUCUUCUCUAUUUUCUCUCAAACACUCCCCAAAGCUUUUCAAGAAAUCAAGUAAGUUUCUAUUCUAUUACAACAGUUUGUAUACCCCUAUAUAUUAGCACCAUAUAAGACUAACUGAUAUAACAACUUCUAAUAGAAACAACCAGCUUUGGCCUAUGUAGCACUCAAUACAAAUCCUGAACCGAUCAUCUCAAUGGUUUAUAAGUCUCUAUAAUUAUACUAUAUUUUGUUUAUUUUUCAUCGUUUUAAUUAAAAAGUGGGAAAAAGACAUCCCAGAUUUUAACAAGAAAAUUAAUUAGGAGCUAAAUCUCUAAUUUGGGCAGUAUGUAUACAAUUCUCUCUCUCACUCUCUCAUCUGGAGAAGCUCAUAUAUAUUGUCUACUUGAAAGUUCUUGAAUCUCUUCAUCAAUAAAUGAUUGAAUGAUCUUUCUUCUUUUGUGAAGAGUUGAAGUAAAUAAGCAGUAAAAACCCAUCAAGAAGUUGAUAUAAUUCCCAUUGAUUUAUACAUUUGCGUCCAAGUUGAGAUGUCCCUUAAUUAUCAUCUCAACGGGUUCUAUGGAUGUCCCUCUUGCUUCACCGGCUUCGGUUUGAGACAUGAUGUUAUCUGCCCAGUGCCCAGUACUAUGCAUCGAUGCAGAGUGAAUCUAAGCUAUGGAGGAGUACAAAGUCGAUUUCAUGCUAUGGAGGAGUACAAAGUGAAUCUAUGAAUCGAUGCAGAGUGAAUCUAAGCUAUAGAGGUUAUGUUGUAAUUCAUGCAUUUGGAAAUAUUUCUCUCAUUGUAGCAUUUGAUUGAAUUAAUGAUGUUACAUUGUAGUCAAUACAGGUUCCCUAUCAUUUUGAACAUAUUCCAUCCCCAUUUGAAAAAAAAGAAAAUUUAAAUUAAAGAGGGGUAUGAAAAAAUUCCCCUGAUUAUUCCAAAAAGCCCACUCCAUUUUUAUGUCUAGAUUGAGGCAUUACUGCCAGUAAAAGAGGAUGGGGAGCAGUUAUUCUUAUGUGGAAUUAGGUUAUGUCACUUUGUAUGCAAAUUUUUUCUCUUUAACCUCAUCUUGAUGAAUUGUUUUUAGCCAAAUCUUUUGGGAAUUCAUGACUAGUAGUGGUAUGUUUGAAUGUGUCAUCCCAUCGCCAACUACUCUCAUUUAUUUAUGUUUAUUCCUAUUCUCAUUCAAUUAAAAAUAUUUAAAUGGAGUGGUGUAGGUGUAGAAAAUUUCUAUGCAUACUUGUCCGGUUUAAUUUUUUUACAAUUUUCUUUUUACCUUUAAAUUUUUUAAUAUAAAUAUAAUUUGUAAUUAUAAAUAUUAUAAAUGUUUAUAAUUUUUAUGAAAAGUAAAUUUUUCUAUUUUAUAGAUGUUACAAAAUUGAAAAAUAAAAAAAUUAACAAUAUCAUUGCUUGAACCCACUUGGAACCUAUCCUAGGUUUAAAAACAAUCUCCCAAAUUCAUUUCAAACUCGUUUAUUUUUAUCUUAAACUCGACUUAUUAAGGGUUGAAAAUGGGUUGGGUAUUCGAAAAAAUCCACCCCCUUGUCAUCCUUAUUUCUUAGCACAUCAUCCAUUAUUUAUGUAUAUACAAGUUAGGCAGUGUUUUAUGCAAAGAUUAUACAAAUGUGAUGAUUAUAUUAUUAUUUACAAGAAUUAUGAAAUUUUUUAUAUUAUUAUAUUAUUAUGCUAUUGUUAACCAAAACCACACACGCGAGUAGAAAAUUAAGAAAAAAACAAGAUAUUAACGUGAUUUGGCGAUCAAUAUGAUCCAUAUAUCCAUGAAGUGCACUAACACUCAACAAUCCACUAAUAAAAGAAAAGAGGAGUACAAUGGUGAAACUCUAGAAAAGAACUCUCAAUUGCGGCCACACUUUCUAAAAAGUAAAACCUUAAAAUAUAAAAAGGUUAAAUAUAUAAUAGGGGCAAAUUCGAUCUCCAUGAGCUUAACAUAGAGUUCAACCCCCAACAUCCUAAGUGAAAUGCAACAAAAUUGAUUCAGAUUUCACAAUCCAACAACUAUUAUAUAGUUUUCAAUGAUGAUUAACUGCAUUGUUUAAUAAAAUUUUUGCUUCUCACCUUUUCAACUUUGUCAAACUCUUAAAUACUACUAUUGUAAUUCAUUCUACUGGUUGGUUUUAUAAUUUCAUUCAUCGCUCUCUUACUCUUCAAUGUAAGAGGGUGUUUGUUUUUUUGGCUUUUUGCUAAAAACUAUUUAUUUUCAGAAUUUAGGUUGUUUGUUUUUCUACUUUUUCAUGAUUUAUUAUAAACUUUUUAUUGAAUAGAAAAAACCAAAAUAUGUAGCUUUUUCUAAAUAGAAAAAAUAACAUAUUGGUUUUUUUUUUUACUUUUUAAUACUUAAAAGAAAUAAAAUAGUACAAAAACAAACAACCUAAUAUUUAACACUAUUAAGCAUUAAGGUUCUAUUUAAAAUAAAGUAAAAAAACAAACACCACCUAAGUGUGUUAAUAUUGGUGUGGGAAAACAUGCUAAAAUGCUACAAUGCAUUUCCUCAUCCAUUUAAAAGGCAAUUUGGGGAAGUCAAAAGACCUGUUUUAGCUAUUGAAUAUUAAAGACAUUAUUCUUUCAUGUAGUGCCAUGAAUGAUACAUUGGUUUUUCUCUUUGGCUUCCAAGAAUAGUGAUAUAUAUGUAAUUGAUUUUGUAGUUUGAAUUAAUGUCUCAAAUUCCUAAUUGAUAUAUAUUCCUUUAGAUAAAAAAUACGGUUAACAUAUUUCCUAUAUUGAUCAUUGUAAUAUUAGAUUUGCUUAUUGUAGAACCUCAGACGUUACCAACUCUCCUAAAAGCAAUUGUUGUUAGGAAAGGCACAUACCCUAGCCUUAUAAUGCAUUCACCCAAGCGCCCACGGCGAACACAAGGGGAGUUGAUGGACGCGGCCAACCCUCCGAUCUGCUAACAAUCUCCCCCUCAACGACACCCCUGGGGUUCGAACCCGUGACCUCGGCUCUGAUACCACUUGAGAAAACAAAGGCUAUGCUUAGUUAAGAAAAACACCCAAAAGGGGAGUGGGGGCGAGUGAAUUGGGUUUUUAAAAUAUUUUCAAUUCACAACAAAUUCAAACACAAUAUAAGCAAAAUAAAGAGAUAGAGUUUAGAGAAGUCAAACUCGGGUUUAUAGUGGUUCGACACUUCCUUGCCUAGGUCCACUCUCCUCAAUCUCUUAACCGAGUGAGGGUUCUACUAACUUGAAGCUUCAACCAAGCUUUCAAUCUUCUUACACUUGGAUUCCGACUCCAAUGGGCUCUUACACAAUCUCUUCAAGAUUCAAACCUCUUGAAGGCUUUGACACUAAGAUUUUUACAAGAAAUGAUCCCUCAGCCUAGCUUAAGGAUAGCUCAAAUACAAGAUAAAGCUAGGAUGACACACAAGAGUGCACUAAAGGAUAUGCAAGUGGUGAUUUAAUGCACUAUGAAAGAAAUGAGAGCUUUUUGAUCAAGAACAGGUAGGUGGGCUAUUGAAUGCAAGUGUUCUCUUGUCAAUAAAUGAAGUAGAGCUCUCAAUUUAUAGGCUUCUAAGCUCGGGAGUCAAAAACAGCAAAAGGUAACCUCGUUCGAUCGAGCUAGGGGUUGACCGGUUCACUAGCCGUUGGAGCAUUUAAUGCAAGACAGGUUACCAUUGCCUCGACCAGACCUCGAUCAGUAAAAGAAUCCCCUAGACCGGGAAGAGAAGGCCACUGGGAGAGAGAGAAACUUUUUGGCCUCCAUCGAUCGGUCCUCGACUAGACGAGCACAACCGGUCGACCGAUUCCUCAACUGGUUGAACCGGUUGGCCAUAGCCUCGACCAGUUGAGCCUUUUUGGCCCCGAAAACCUAUUUUUUUAAUUCCUUUCUUUUCUAACACUUAGGCAAGGUCUUUAGGUUAAUUAUUAAGCCAAUUAUAAAACAUUUUACCUAAGGUACAUUAGUUAAAAACUUGAGUUUUAAUGAAAUCAAAGUUUUAAAGAAUAAACCGAGUUUUCUAAGUUGCAUGAAACGUAUGAAAAUCCUAAGUGCACUCAUGCAUUCAUCUUACAUUAGUUUCCUAUGAUCACAAGUCUUCCAAGCAUCUCGAUCUUGUAUCCAUUUGGUCAUUUGAUGAAUUUUCGAGUUUAUGCCUGAGAUUCUUAACCAUUAAACAAAUUAGUCACUUAACCAUGGUUUGUUAUCAUCAAAACCCAAUUAGGAGAACCCUUGGGCUAACAAUCCCCUCAUUUUUGAUGAUGACAAACCUUGGUUAUCUAGGAGAGAAAAAAAAAUCUCCCUCUCAAACCAAUCAUGGAUCAAUCAAACAAUUUUUAAUAGGAAACAAUGUAAAACACGAAAAUUUGAAUAGGAAGCAAUAGAUCAUGAAAAUAUCAUAUCAUAUAUAUAUGGAAACCUCACAUGUACACACAAGAUAGAAAUGAUAAUGAUGACAAUGACAUGCAUGAGGGUCUCCUAGAUUUUAUAUAUUUCUCCCCAUUUGGCAACAUAAAAAAGAAACAGAGAGGGAACUCUAGAUAAUUUCAAGGCUGAGGGGGUGGAGGAGGAAACACAGAGCAGAGGUAAGCCAUCAUCUCCUUAUGCUGACUCACUUGACGACUCUCAAUGUGAUCAAUGCUCUGUUGGAGAUGCUCAAAUGUAGCCUGUUGUUGAUCCAUACGCUCCUCUAUGCGCUCAAAUAUCUGCUGGAAGUGAUCAAAUCGAGAAGUGACUCCAGUUUGAUACUGAUCCAUGUGCUCCUUCAUAGAGUAGAAGCGAGUGUCAUGGACUAAAGCAAGCUCCUCUAUACGAGUCCCAAGGGAGCUGAUCUUAGUUGAGACAUCCAUCUAAGGCGCAUGAUCAGGAGCGUGAGGAGCCUGAGAUGGUAGCUCUGUGUGAGAAAACUCGGUAAAUGAUGGCUGAGAUGAUGGUCCUAUUGUGUAAGAAGGCUCAAUCAUCAUAGGCUCUGAGAAAGUGGCCUCAACAUGAAUGCCCUUUGACUGAGGUGGAGGGGAAAUGUCAAGCUCGGGCCCUCUCUGCUCAAAAUCCCUCUGAGGGUCUAACCCAUCCUCCAUCUCUCUGAUCUCGGCCUCCUCCUCUGUUCCGAGAUGCAUCUGUCCUUGAACCCUAGCCUGUCGCUCAGCUCUCCUAAUCUAAGAGCCAUCGGGUGCCUUCUCGAACUUCAUUCGCCCUAAGAACUGCUCAUUGUGCGUGUCAUAGCUAGUGGGGGCCUCGAAGUCCGUCUCUCUACUCAAUUCGACCCUAGCAUCCUUGAAUACUCGGGUAAGGAAGCGGUCGUAGGGGAGUACUCGUGUCAUGCUCUCAACACAAGAUAUCAUAUGCAUCAUCAUCAGAUAUCCCACGUGAAUCCGUUUCUCGAUGAGGAUCGAGUCCACAAUAAAUGCCUCAAGGUAGGAGACCUCGUCUGGAUGUCCUCCUCGUGGUAAUAAGAUGGAGCAAAUCAUGUGAUGGAGGACUCGACUAGGCACGGUCAGGUUGUGUGCCGAUGGUUUGCCCAUUCCCUGGGCAUUUGCGAGUCCACAUAACCUCUGAACAACCUCUCUAGGCUCGAAUCUCGGCACAGUGGGCCACGCCUUGGCCUCAUACACUCGGAGUCCAACUGAAGGAAUGUCGAGAAUGUGGCAGAUACUCUAAGGGCUCAAUCUGAUCUCAACUCCUCUCACUGUGGACAAUACUGGUUCUCCAAACCCAUAGGUCGCCCGGGAAUAAAAAGCCCGCACCAGAGUCAGGAAGAUUAGCUCGAAAAUUGUCACAACUGGCAGCCAUCCCAUUUGACUGAAGAGUCCCUCAAACUCGAAGUGCUAAAGCUGGGAGAAAUUAACACUUCUCCCUAGGAUGACUUUCCUUUGGGCGAACUUUUACUUGUAUUGCUGAUAGUGUUUGACGGAAUUGAAGAAGGUCGUGUCAUACCUCGCCUUUUGGCGAGCCUCCAUCUGCUCAGGUUGAGAUGGCUCAAUAGGGCACUUGCCCUGAGCCCUAGAGAUGCCCGUCUCUUGCCUUGGAGCCAUCCAAUGAACAGAAAUGAGAAGGAGGAGUCCAAAAGGAGAAUGAAAUCAAACAAGAGAGAGCAAACACCAACCCGAAGCCCUAGGCGCACGGAGAUGAGGCUGAAUCCAAUCUUGAGGCGUGCGGUCAGAGAGAAAUCACCCCAAAAAAUUGAAACCCUGGGUUUCAAAUCAAAACCCUAGCCUCAAGGUGUCCCAAAGUCAAAUCCACAACCUGCAAUUAGUUCGAAAUCUUGCCAAAACUAACUUCUGGUAGCAGGAAUGUGAAGGGUCUUCAAGGUAUGGAGGAGAACAGGUGAAAAAUGAAGCGCGCAUGUGAGGGGGGGGGGGGGGGGGGCUUUUUAAAUUCCUAGCCCCAACGAACCGGUCGACUGGUUGGUCAACGAUCAACGGUCACGGUCAAUGGUCCAAUUUUUGCAUUUUCUUGUCUCAUGAUCCUUCCCCUGCCCUUUUCAGUUGAAAUCCCCAAUUUUUUUAUGUCUAAUGCCAAGAGAAUUUUGAUUUUUGGUCAAAAUUUGACCUUUUUCCUAAGAUUAUUUCUAUAUGAUGCAUAUGAUAUGAAUUUCAUGCAAUCAUAAGGUAUAUUCAAUCAAGAAUUCAUCAAGCAAUCAUUUGAUCACAAAGAAAUCACCCCUAGUUGUCUUCUAAUAUCAACAAAUUGCUCUUCACUUAAAGGUUUUAUAAAAUAUCGGCAAAUUGAUCUUUUAUGCUUACAAAUUCAAGUGUAAUGUCACCCUUUUGUGCAUGGUCUCUAAGAAAAUGGUGUCUUAUCUCUAUAUGCUUAGUCCUAGAGUGUUGCACCGAAUUUUUUGAAAUGUUUAUGGCACUAGUGUUAUCACAUUUAAUAGGAACAUGCUCAAAAAUCAAAUUGAAAUCACUAAGUGUUUGUUUCAUCCAAAGGAUUUGUGCACAACAUAAACCGGCUGCUAUGUAUUCCGCUUCCGCCAUAGACAAAGCUACCGAAUUUUUCUUCUUACUAUGCCAUGAAACAAGUGAGUAUUCUAGGAAAUGACAAGUGCCACUAGUGCUUUUCCUCUCAACUUUACAAUUGGCAAAGUUGGCAUCCAAGUAUCCAAUUAAUUCAAAGUUAUCACCCUUAGGAUACCAUAGGCUUAUGUCCAUUGUCCCUUUUAAAUAUCUAAGAAUUCGUUUUACAACACUUAAAUGAGAUUCUUUAGGACAAGAUUGAAAUCUAGCACACAAACAUACACUAUACAUGAUGUCGGGUCUACUAGUAGUCAAAUAUAGCAAAGAACCUAUCAUGCCUCUAUACAUAGUUGAGUGGACGGACUUACCUUUGUCAUCCAUGUCAAGCUUGACGGAUGAACUCAUUGGAGUCUUCAUUGUUUUGGUUUCCUCCAUAUUGAACCUUUUGAGGAGAUCUCUUAUAUACUUUGCUUGAUUGAUGAAGGUUCCUUCCUUUAGUUGCUUGAUUUGAAGUCUAAGGAAGAAGUUAAGUUCUCCCAUCAUGCUCAUUUCAAACUCAUAUGCAUGCAUUUAGAAAAUUCUUCACAAAGAGAGACAUUAGUAGCUCCAAAAAUGAUAUCAUCAACGUAUAUUUGCACUAAGAGCAUGACAUUUUCUUUAGUUUUUAUGAAAAGAGUUGUGUCAAUUUUUCCCAUUUUAAAACCCUUUUUCAAAAGAAAUUUACUCAAUCUUUCAUACCAUGCUCUAGGUGCUUGUUUCAAACCAUAAAGUGCCUUUUUAAAAUUAGGAAAGUUAAAACUUUGAAAAUCGGGUGGUUGUUCAACAUAUACCUCUUCAUUUAUAAAGUCAUUUAAGAAAACACUUUUUACAUCCAUUUGAUAUAAAACAAAGUCUUUAAAACAUGCAAAGGCAAGUAGCAUCUUAAUGGCUUCCAAUCUAGCUACGGGAGCAAAGGUUUCUUCAUAAUCUAUCCCUUCUUCUUGAUUAAAACCUUGGGCUACCAAUCUUGCUUUAUUCCUUAUAAUUAAGUCAUUUUCAUCCAUUUUAUUUCUAAAGAUCCAUCUAGUUCCAAUAACUCUUUGAUUUUGAGGUAUUGACACUAAUUCCCAUACUUUACUUCUUUCAAAUUGGUUUAACUCUACUUGCAUAGCAAUUAUCCAAUUUUCAUUAACUAGUGCAUUUUUUUAUAUUUUUAGGUUCAAUUUGAGAGAUAAAAGCAAGAUUAUUGCAAAUAUUUCUAAGAGAUGAUCUAGUUCUUAACCCACUAGAUGAAUUACCUAUAAUUUGAUCUUGUGGGUGGUUGAUGACAAACUUCCAAUCUUUAGGGAGGUCUUGGCUUGAUUCACCUUGCACUUGUUGAGGAGGAGGUAAUGCCAAAGGUGAUUUUUCUUUCUUGGGAUCCUCUACAAUUUCUUCUUGUUGCCUUCUAUCUUCAAUUUGUAAUUUUCCUAUGAAAGUCUACAAGCCUAAAUCAUCAUCAAAUCUCUCUCUUUCUUGGAGAGAAUUGUUAGAUUCAUAAAAAAUAACAUGGAUGGACUCCUCAACAACCAUGGUUCUUUUGUUAAAAACUUCAAAGGCUUUACUUGAAGUUGAGUAACCAAGAAAAAUUCCAACAUCCGAUUUUGCAUCAAAAUUUCCAAGAUUGUCUUUGGUGUUUAAUAUGAAGCAUUUGCACCCAAAGACUUUGAAAUAGCUAAUGUUGGGUUUCUUGUUUUUCCAAAGCUUAUAGGGAGUUUUCUUAAGAAUAGGCCUUAAUAAAAUUCUAUUUAAAACAUAACAAGAAGUGUUAACCGCUUCGGCCCAAAAGUAUUUUGGUAAAUUGUUUUCAUUUAGCAUGGUUCUAGCCAUUUCUUGAAGAGUUCUAUUUUUCCUUUCAACUACCCCAUUUUGUUGAGGAGUUCUAGGAGCCGAAAAAUUGUGGUUAAUACUAUGCUCAUUGCAAUAGUCUUCAAAAUCAAUAUUUUCAAAUUCUCUUCCAUGAUCACUUCUUAUACAAGUAAUUGUAAAACCCUUUUCAUUUUGAACCUUAUUGCAAAACUUUGAAAACUCAUAAAAGGCUUCAUUAUUUUGACUUAAAAAUAAGACCCAAGUGUAUCUAGAGAAGUCAUUACAAUAACAAAAGCAUAAGAUUUUCCUCCAAGGCUUGGUGUCUUAGAGGGACCAAAUAAAUCCAUAUGCAACAAUUCAAGAGGCCUAGUUGUUGAAAUGAAAUUUUUGUUUUUAAAAGAGUUUUUGAUUUGCUUUCCCAUUUGACAAGCUUCACAAACUUUGUCUUUUUGAAAAUUUAUUUUGGGAAAGCCUUUAACAAGUUCAUCUUUGUUAAGUUGGGAAAUGAGGUCCACGUUAGCAUGUCCCAACCUCCUAUGCCACAACUAACUUUGAUCAUGCAUGCUUGAAAAGCAUCUAUCAUGGCCAUCGUAUUUUGAAAUAUUUAUUGCAUAAACAUUAUCACAUCUAUGGCCCAUGAAGAUGGUUUUAUCAUUUUGAAUAUCUUUAAUGAUGCAAUGAGAUGCUUCAAAAAUCACUUUAAAACCUUUGUCACAAAGUUGACUUAUGCUCAAAAGAUUAUGUUUUAAACCAUCCAUUAAUAAAACACUUUCAAUAAGAGAGGAUGUGCCAUUACCAAUGUUGCCUUGACCAAUGAUCCUUUCUUUUGAAUUGUCUCCAAAGGUAACGUAUCCUCCCUUUCUCUUUGUAAGGAAAGCAAACUUGGAUUCAUCCCCGGUCAUGUGUCUUGAGCACCCAUUAUCCAAGAAUCACUUAUCCUUCUUUGAUCCCUACAAAAUAAAAUUUAAGUUGAUUUAGGUACUCAUAUCUUUUUGGGUCCUUGAGGGUUAGUGACCUUGGAUUUCUCAACCCAUACCUUUUUAGCUUUAGCAUUUGAAAUCUUUUGAGAACCAUUUCUUAAGGGACAUGUACUACUAAUGUGCCCUCCUCUUCCACAAAAGUUACAAGUGGUAGAAGAACUUGCACUUGCGGAUUCUUUUACAAAGUAGUUUUAAAAAUACUUUUGAUUUUUUGAAGAUUUGAAUCCUAGCCCUUGUUUGUCAAAGACGCAUUUUUGGCUAGCUAAGAUCAUUUCAAAAGAUUUUUGUCCACAAGAGAAAAUUGAAAGAGAGGAGGUUAACCAUUCAUUUUUCUUUUUCAAAAUCUCAUUUUCACUCCUCAAAAUCUCAUUUUCUUUUUCAAGAUGAGUUUUAGAUAUUUCAACAAUUGAAAAUUUUCUUUCACUUCUUCAAGUUCCUUUUCAAGUUCUUGAAUUUUCUUUUUAAGAGAAUUAUUUUUCAAACUAAGUUUUUCAAAAUCCUCAUAUAAUUCUCCAAAAACAUCAUGCAUAUCUUCAUCACUAAAGUUAGAGUUUACCUCAUCAAGAUCAUCUAUUGCCAUGAAGCACAUGUUUGCCACUUCCUUCUCAUUUUCUUCUUCGAAGGAUUCUUCACUUUCACUCCAAGUGGCCAUCAUUGCCUUCUUCAUUCUUCUCUUGGCUUCACUCUUGUAGAGAGGACAAUCAUAUUUAAUGUGUCCCGGUUUUUUGUACUUGAAGCAUAUCAAAUCUCUUUUCUCUUCCCAUUUCUCCUUGUCACCAUGGGACGAGGAUUCCUUUUUAGAAGGAUCUCUUCUAGAGGUGAACUUCCUUCCUCUAAACCUUUCACCUCUCAUGUAUUUGUUGAGUUUUCUUGUGAUGAGGACUAAAUCAUCAUCUUCAUCACUUGGUUUUUCCUUUUCAACAUCUUCUUCUUCCUUGGUUGUAGCUUUGAGGGCUAUGCUCUUCUUCUUUUUGUCUUCACCCUCUUGUAGCUUCUUUGUCAAAUUGAUCUCAUAUGUCAUUAAUGACCCUAUAAGCUCUUCCAUAGGUAGCUUAGUCAAGUCUUUUGCUUCUUGAAUUGCGGUGACCUUGGUGUGCCACUUUGACGGGAAAGACCUCAAUAUCUUCAUCACCUUCUCUUGUAGGACCUCAGGCGCUACCAACUCUCCUAAAAGCAAUUGUUGUUAGGAAAGACGCAUAUCCUAGCCUUAUAGUACAUUCACCCAAGUGCCCACGGUGAACACAAGGGGAGUUGAUGGAUGCAGCCAACCCUCCGAUCUGUCAACACUUAUAAAAAUAAGAAAAUUUAUUAUUAAUGUCUUUAUAAAUAUUUUAGGUGGAAAAAUAUUAUGAGAUGGAGAUGACUUGUGAGAACUAUACAUGAUAUAUGGAGAUGUGAGGAAGAGUAGGUCGAAGACAUUUAGUGGAAUAAGGGAGCUGAGCUUACUUCAUACUUUAUAAUAUAGAUAUAAGAAGUGGAGAACAUAUAUACAAUGUUUGAUGGCUUAAUAAUUUUAUCUGGUUUCUACCCCCAGUAAUAUGUCUAGAUCAAGAAAUUAAUACUUUGAGAAAGAUCAAUGAUCUAAUUUGAAUUAAUACACGUCAUAGAAAUCUCAAAAUUGGUAUGCCUUUUGCAAUGAUAUGCCUAUUAACUUUUAUUCAAAUGUUAUCUAAUAAAUUUGCCUAAAUCAAGAUUAAUCAAUGAAUAUAUAUAAUGAGAGAUCUCAUCAAAUUAUAUCUAAUAAAUUAGUAUUAUGAGAUCUAACUCAACUAUAUAUAAAUUGUUCAUGAUUUAAGAACCAAAUAUUAACUCAUGUAGUUAUAUUAAAAUAAUUUUUAUUUUUUCAUUGAUGCCAUAUGUUUUUAUGAAGCUUAUAUACCAUGAUGUCUAUUUUAUUCAAAUUAUCUUGUUUACAAUUUUUGUGAGAAGCCACUUUCAACAAUAUAUUUAAGAAUUCCGAUUCUAAAGUAUGAGAGUCUAAAAUUAAUUCUUCUUUUAGGAUCUUAAUAGAAAAAAGAGUUUAGCAAGUUAUAAAUAACCUACUAAAUAGUCUAUGAAAAAAUAAUUAAGAAAAGUAGGGUCCAUUUUAAACCUUUAACUUUGAGAAUAGAUUUUUGACACCAUUGAUAUAUUUUUUCUAUUGAAACGAGUUUUAAGAAAUUUGUUCUCGAAGUAGGUUAUUUUAAAAAAAAAAUUUGAUGUAUUUUAAGGUGUUUUUUUUAAAAAUAUUUUGAUAAAUAAUUAAAAAUAUGAGAAUACUUUGAUAAUUUCUAUACAAUUGACCUUUAUGGAGAAUUUAAGUAAAUAAUUAGGGUUUGUUUGUCAUCUGUUUUCCCCAAGUGGAUUUAUGUUUUUGAGAACUAAGAAAUGUUUCAAAAAUAUUAUCCAAAUGAACUAUUAAACCCUUAAUCUAUAUGCAUCUUAAGUGGGAAACAAAUCAAAUGAACUUCAAAUGUAUCUCUAGAGAAAAAGAAAAAAGGAAAAAGAGCUAUGAGAAUUUUACUGUAUUGAUGAUAAAAAAAGACCAAGAAUUUGUUGAAUGUGAAAUCAACAACUUCCAAAUUAUUAGAUUGUCUCAUAUUGGUGAAAGCCAGCAAGUUGAAUUUUCUUGGAAAAGAGAGAGAAGAUGAGAGUUUGUUAUUGGUUUGAAAGAGAGACAAUUAUGAAUGUGAAAGAGGAAUAGUGAUGAUUAUAUACCCUAAACAGUUAUGCAAGAUUGUCAUUAAACUCAACCCCCGACAUAUUACCACCUUGCCAUCACAUGGUUUUAUUAUAUAUAAAAUAAAAUAAUAAAAAGAUAGACAUCAAAUAAAUUAAAAUUUUAUCCCUUGCUUGGAUGCUGAAUUUUUUAAAUUAUCUUUUAUUUUUCUUUUCGAACAAUGUUAUCAAAUACUUUGUUAUAUUAGUUUUUACAAAGCAUAAGAUAUGUUAUAAUUUUUAUUUUGCUCUUAUGUGCUAUAGUAUUUUUAAAAUCUCUACUAAGUAAAAUAAAAACAUUAUAAAAUAUCUUAUGUCUUAGAAAAUCUAAUUUAACAAAAUAUUUGAUUGGUGUUCCAAAAGAGAAAAUAAAAUUAAGGUAAUUUAAAAAAUUCACCACCAAAGGUUAAAAUUUCAAUUUACAUUUUUUGAUGUUUGAAUUACACAUUAUGUAUAAAUAUUCUUUUACUAAAUUAUUUUAUAUAUAAUAAAAACAUGUGGUGGCAAGGUGGUAAUAUGAAGGUUGUUGAGUGUAAUGACAAUCUUGCAUAACUGUUUAGAGUAUAUAAGCAUCACUAAUCCUCUUCCACAUUCACAACUGUCUCUCUUUGGAACCAAUUAACAAACUCGCUCCCGCUUUCUCUCACUUUCCCAAGAAAAUUCAAUCAUAUACUUUGGAAGUUGUUGAUUUCACAUUCAACAAUUUCUUGGUCUUUUUGGUCAUCAGUCCGGUAAAAUUCUCUGAACUCCUCUUCCUUUUUCUCUGGAGAUCCAUUUCGAGUAGUUCAUUUGCUUUGUUUCUUGUUGAAGAAUCAUAUAUGUUUCUCUAUCACUUUCUCUCACUUUCGGUCUCGCUUCCUCCAGAAAAUUAAAUUCAACUUUGCUAGCUUUCAAGAAUCUGAUAACUUGGGUGUUGUUGAUUUCAUAUUCAGCAAUUUCUUCUCUGUGUUGUUCAUCAGCGAUCAGGUACAGAUUCUUUAAUCCUUUGUUUCUUUUUCUUGAUAUCCUCGUCAAGUACAAUUUCUUUCUCAGUUUCUUGGUCAAGAAUCUGAAACUCAAAUUCACUUGGAAGUUGUUAAUUUCUGUUUUCUAAUCAGAUUCCCUUUUCACUUGGAAGUUGUUUCUUUCAAAUUAAUCCAACAUGUAUGCUAAUUUCAGGUACAUUCCCCGAUUGAAUCCUUUUCAUCUCAACUCUCAUCUUCUUUAUGAAAUUUUUGUUCUUUCUGAUCUUAAACUUAAUUAUAAAUGCAUCAUUACUGCUCAGCUGGCCCAACUGCCGACCACCCACAUCAACACCGGACCCAACUCCAGCACAGGAUCCCAACCCAACUCCAACAUGGCUCAGCUGUCAUUACUGCUCUCGGUUCUUUAUUAGCAACCUAAAUGUUCGAGUAUGUCUCUCUCCAUAUAUCAGAAAUUAAUUGGAGCAUUUUAUGUUUUACAUUUUUCUUUUAUGUUUCUUUGAUGAAUGUUCUCCUUGUAGGGUGUUGUUGUACAAGCCAGGGAACCCAAUACUAGCUACUAUGUGGCUGAUUACAUGUAUGUUUUUUAAUGUGCUUGGUUGGGAAUAAAGAAAAAGAUCGAUUCUUAAUAAUUUGAAUUGUUACAGAUAGGGUAGCUUUAUUUUUGUGGAUUUUAAUCACAACAUAAGGCUACAUUUGUGUUUGUUCAUGGAUGCAGUACUAACACUUACCGUCCAGACGAUGGAUUAAUAAUUUCUGAAUGGAUUACAGCUGAAAAUGGGGAGAAUAAUUUGGCCUUGACCCGUAUCUACUGUGACAGAUGCAGACUACCUGCUGGCUGGAAAGUCGUAAGAAAUUAAUUUGGCCUUGUUGCUGUGAAUUUUCUGUUUUAUAUGUUGGCAAGCUCUAAUCUCAAGCUCAAUAUCUCGUCACAUGCAGCUUCAGCGGAGCCAAACUCACCCUAUUGUCGAUAUAGGCCACGUUUUGCUGCCAGUUACUCCUCCUGCUGCUUCUCCUUCUCAGCCAUAAUGGCUCAAGGACGUGGCUAAUGGCUGAUGGCUCUCCAUAUAUACAGUGGAUGUGGCUCGUGGCUGAUGGCUCUCCAUAUAUAGUCUCUGUUACUUAAGAAUCUCAAUACAGUAGUUAUCCAAUGCAAUGUACUUGUGAUGUAAUACCAAUUGCUAGCUAGUACCAGCUCUGUUUUCAGAAGCUUUCAUGUUGGGUUGAAUAAAUUCAUGAGAAUUCUAUGUCGUAAUGUGUAAAUGACUUCUUUUUCUUCAUGGUAUCCAAGUUGCAAUGCCCAAAAGAAAAUGGUUGAAAAUUUUUUGAGCUCUUCCAU
RNAcentral lists this long non-coding RNA (21979 nucleotides) under Vitis vinifera (wine grape). Its description in RNAcentral is "long non-coding RNA (VVIN_LNC005127)". Lineage: Eukaryota; Viridiplantae; Streptophyta; Magnoliopsida; Vitales; Vitaceae. The record is from RNAcentral.